RNAcentral lists this transfer RNA (72 nucleotides) under Barilius bendelisis (Hamilton's barila). RNAcentral describes it as "tRNA-Thr". It matches the Rfam family "tRNA". From Rfam's summary of the family: Transfer RNA (tRNA) molecules are approximately 80 nucleotides in length. Lineage: Eukaryota; Metazoa; Chordata; Actinopteri; Cypriniformes; Danionidae. The record is from RNAcentral.
GCCCUAGUAGCUUAACCCCAAAGCGUCGGUCUUGUAAGCCGGAGAUCGGAGGUUAAACCCCUCCCUAGAGCC